CCCUUAGAUGUCCGGGGCCGCACGUGCGCUACACUGAAGGAAUCAGCGUGGCUUUCUCCCUGACCCGAAAGGGUUGGGAAACCCGUUGAAUCUCCUUCGUGAUAGGGAUUGGGGCUUGAAAUUGUUCCCCAUGAACGAGGAAUUCCCAGUAAGCGCGAGUCAUAAGCUCGCGUUGAUUACGUCCCUGCCCUUUGUACACACCGCCCGUCGCUACUACCGAUUGAACGGUUUAGUGAGGGCCUCGGAUUGGUCUCGGCCCGCUCUUUACCGGGCGGCGCCGUUGGUCGAGAAGACGCUCGAACUUGAUCGUUUAGAGGAAGUAAAAGUCGUAACA
RNAcentral lists this ribosomal RNA (334 nucleotides) under uncultured eukaryote. RNAcentral describes it as "partial 18S ribosomal RNA". It matches the Rfam family "Eukaryotic small subunit ribosomal RNA", at positions 1470 to 1796 of the family's 1831-position model. The record is from RNAcentral.